Molecule: ribosomal RNA, 483 nt
Filed under: uncultured bacterium
Lineage: Bacteria
Description: partial 16S ribosomal RNA
Rfam family: Bacterial small subunit ribosomal RNA
Source: RNAcentral
AUUGAACGCUGGCGGCAUGCUUUACACCUGCAAGUCGAACGGCAGCGCGGGCUUCGGCCUGGCGGCGAGUGGCGAACGGGUGAGUAAUACAUCGGAACGUGCCCAGUAGUGGGGGAUAGCUCAGCGAAAGCCGGAUUAAUACCGCAUACGACCUGAGGGUGAAAGCGGGUGUUCUUCGGACCUCGCGCUAUUGGAGCGGCCGCUGGCAGAUUUGCUAGUUGGUGGGGUACAGGCCUACCAAGGUGACGAUCUGUCGCUGGUCCGAGAGGACGACCAGCCACACUGGAACUGAGACACGGCCCAGACUCCUACGGGAGGCAGCAGUGGGAAAUUUUGGACAAGGGGCGAAAGCCUGAUCCAGCAAGGCCGCGUGUGUGAUGAAGGCCUUCGGGUUGUAAAGCACUUUUGGCGGGAACGAAAAGGACUGUGCCAAUACCACGGUUCGAUGACGGUACCCGCAGAAUAAGCACCGGCUAACUACGU